Molecule: ribosomal RNA, 253 nt
Filed under: uncultured bacterium
Lineage: Bacteria
Description: partial 16S ribosomal RNA
Rfam family: Bacterial small subunit ribosomal RNA
Source: RNAcentral
UAAGGAGGGGGCUAGCGUUGUUCGGAAUUACUGGGCGUAAAGCGCACGUAGGCGGACUGGAAAGUCAGGGGUGAAAUCCCGGGCCUCAACCCCGGAACUGCCUUUGACACUCCCAGUCUUGAGGUCGAGAGAGGUGAGUGGAAUUCCGAGUGUAGAGGUGAAAUUCGUGGAGAUUCGGAGGAACACCAGUGGCGAAGGCGGCUCACUGGCUCGAUUCUGACGAUGAGGUGCGAAAGCGUGGGGAGCAAACAGG